This 253-nucleotide ribosomal RNA is filed under the name uncultured bacterium. RNAcentral describes it as "partial 16S ribosomal RNA". It matches the Rfam family "Bacterial small subunit ribosomal RNA", at positions 524 to 776 of the family's 1533-position model. The record is from RNAcentral.
UACGGAGGAUCCAAGCGUUAUCCGGAAUCAUUGGGUUUAAAGGGUCCGUAGGCGGCUUGUUAAGUCAGUGGUGAAAGCCCAUCGCUCAACGAUGGAACGGCCAUUGAUACUGACAGGCUUGAAUUACUGGGAAGUAACUAGAAUAUGUAGUGUAGCGGUGAAAUGCUUAGAUAUUACAUGGAAUACCAAUUGCGAAGGCAGGUUACUACCAGUGGAUUGACGCUGAUGGACGAAAGCGUGGGGAGCGAACAGG